UACGGGAGGCAGCAGUGAGGAAUAUUGGUCAAUGGGCGCGAGCCUGAACCAGCCAAGUAGCGUGCAGGAUGACGGCCCUAUGGGUUGUAAACUGCUUUUAUGCGGGGAUAAAGUCACCCACGUGUGGGUGUUUGCAGGUACCGCAUGAAUAAGGACCGGCUAAUUCCGUGCCAGCAGCCGCGGUAAU
RNAcentral lists this ribosomal RNA (187 nucleotides) under uncultured rumen bacterium. Its description in RNAcentral is "partial 16S ribosomal RNA". It matches the Rfam family "Bacterial small subunit ribosomal RNA", at positions 340 to 524 of the family's 1533-position model. The record is from RNAcentral.